RNAcentral lists this ribosomal RNA (541 nucleotides) under Ascomycota sp. RNAcentral describes it as "SSU rRNA". It matches the Rfam family "Eukaryotic small subunit ribosomal RNA", at positions 550 to 1098 of the family's 1831-position model. Lineage: Eukaryota; Fungi; Ascomycota. The record is from RNAcentral.
GGAGGGCAAGUCUGGUGCCAGCAGCCGCGGUAAUUCCAGCUCCAAUAGCGUAUAUUAAAGUUGUUGUGGUUAAAAAGCUCGUAGUUGAACCUUGGGCCUGGCUGGCCGGUCCGCCUCACCGCGUGUACUGGUCCGGCCGGGCCUUUCCCUCUGUGGAACCCCAUGCCCUUCACUGGGUGUGGCGGGGAAACAGGACUUUUACUUUGAAAAAAUUAGAGUGCUCCAGGCAGGCCUAUGCUCGAAUACAUUAGCAUGGAAUAAUAGAAUAGGACGUGUGGUUCUAUUUUGUUGGUUUCUAGGACCGCCGUAAUGAUUAAUAGGGACAGUCGGGGGCAUCAGUAUUCAAUUGUCAGAGGUGAAAUUCUUGGAUUUAUUGAAGACUAACUACUGCGAAAGCAUUUGCCAAGGAUGUUUUCAUUAAUCAGGAACGAAAGUUAGGGGAUCGAAGACGAUCAGAUACCGUCGUAGUCUUAACCACAAACUAUGCCGACUAGGGAUCGGACGAUGUUAUUUUUUGACUCGUUCGGCGCCUUACGGAAAC